This 380-nucleotide ribosomal RNA is filed under the name uncultured bacterium. Its description in RNAcentral is "bacterial SSU rRNA". It matches the Rfam family "Bacterial small subunit ribosomal RNA", at positions 29 to 405 of the family's 1533-position model. The record is from RNAcentral.
AUUAAACGCUGGCGGCAUGCCUUACACAUGCAAGUCGAAACGGGCAGCACGGGGGCAACCCUGGUGGCGAGUGGCGAACGGGUGAGUAAAGCAUCGGAACGUGCCCUGGAGUGGGGGGAUAACGUAGCGAAAGUUACGCUAAUACCGCAUAUUCUGUGAGCAGGAAAGCAGGGGGAUCGCAAGACCUUGCGCUCUGGGAGCGGCCGAUGUCGGGAUUAGCUAGUUGGUGGGGUAAAGGCCUACCAAGGCGACGAUCCGUAGCGGGUCUGAGAGGAUGAUCCGCCACACUGGGACUGAGACACGGCCCAGACUCCUACGGGAGGCAGCAGUGGGGAAUUUUGGACAAUGGGCGCAAGCCUGAUCCAGCCAUGCCGCGUGAG